CAAAAGGUGAGAGUCUGGAUUGCAAAUAUGGGUCUUUUCUGGAGAGUUAAGACAGUUACUUAAAGAGCCAGUCCCUGAAAGUCUUGCAGUAAGGAAUCUCUGAGAAUACAUCAAUCUUCAUUAAUUUUCUGUUUUCUCCCUUCACCCUGUAGAUGAGGGACAGACCUCAAAGGUCCAUAACCCCGAUCAUCUGCUCCUGGUUUUCCUGUUUGGUGCCUGUCCAUUUGAUCAAUCACUCGGUGGAAAGAGGAAGAAAAGCUUUAGAAUAUUUUUUUAAAAUUUUAUUUACAGUGUGGUAACAGGCCCUUCCGGCCCAACGAGUCCACGCCACCCAUUUUAAACCCAAAUUAACUUACCCGUAUGUCUUUGCAAUGUGGGAGGAAACCUGAGCACCCGCAGGAAACCCACGCAGACAUGGGAGAACGUACAAACUCCUUACAGACAGUGACAGGAAUCAAGCUCCUAUCGCUGGCGCUGUAAUAGCGUCGCACUAACCUCUAUGCUACCGUGCCAAUAUGUUGACUGGACUUCUGCAUCCCUGAAAUUUCCCAGCUCCCUGUAUCCCUUCCAACUUUCCCCCAGCAUUUCCACACUGUGGGCCCUCCCCCACCAAACCAAAGAGACCAUUUUCCUGCAUGUUAUCGCCACCCAAAUGACAAACUACAGCAAUGGCUCCAGAUUUAACCAUUAACCUACACACUAGGAGUGAUUUACUGUGACCAAUUAAACUUUGGGCAUGCCUUUGGGAUGUGGGAGGAAAGCAGAGCACCCAAUGGAAACCUGCGGUCAGAGGGAGAACACGAAUGCUCCACAGAAGCAGCACAGAAGAUGCUACCUGACCUAUUUCAGACUUCCAGGAUCUGCGGCUUUUGACCUCCAGAGAAGAGAACAAUUGGUCUACUUUAUUUAGCUGGAUUGGCUUUUCAGUUACUUCCUCAGAAGUGUACAGCUCAGUUCAGAUGCAAUGCCUAAAAUUACUCAUAAUACUGAGUUCUAAAAUGUUACUUUCUAAAAGUAAUCUAAUUUGCAUAUCUGAAUGUCAAUAUGGUUUUAUAUCCUGAAAUCUAAUGCCUUCCAAAGGAAACAAGAGUGUGAAUGUCACAAAAGGCUGUAACAACUGAUCAAAUAAUUUGCAUUUGAAUAAUUCAGUGCUAGCUGCUUCCACAAACUCCCGAGGGCAGUUAUUCCAAAUACUGACCACUCACUCAAAUAUUAUUUUCUGCGGAUGAGUUUCAAAUACACCAUUACCAACCAUCCUUCCAUUCUCAAUUCAGAUGACCAAAAUGGCCUACCAAAUACAUUCUUGUCUGGACUGCCCUUAAGCCAUUAAAACAGAAUCAUUUUUUUUGUAAAGGAGCAAAGGCAAUAAAGCAUAGUUGUAAACAUGGGGAACGAUAAGGAAAUGGAAUAAAAAUGCACAUGUAUGUUGUGUUGUGCUAGAUGGUUGUAGGGUCUCAUUGACUGUCUUAUUGUCUCAUUGGCUUACUAUUGACUGAUAGGCACCCUGAAGCAAGACACAGAGACAUUAGCUGCUACUGACCUAUUUAUUUGCUCAGCUGUACUGAACUGCUUGGCAUAGGAGGCUAAGAAAGAGAAGGCAAGAAUAAUCAUGAAGCAUUUUUUGCAGGCUAAAUUAUUUUUGUUGUUAAAUUACUAAAAUGCAUUCUAGCAUCACAUAGAAAUGAGAUAUUUAUAUGCU
This is a long non-coding RNA of Pristis pectinata (smalltooth sawfish), 1699 nucleotides long. RefSeq lists it as uncharacterized. The record is from RefSeq and is a predicted model, not a curated record. The transcript is spliced from 3 exons. Lineage: Eukaryota; Metazoa; Chordata; Chondrichthyes; Rhinopristiformes; Pristidae.